AUUGAACGCUGGCGGCAGGCCUAACACAUGCAAGUCGAACGGCAGCGGGGGAUAGCUUGCUAUCCUGCCGGCGAGUGGCGGACGGGUGAGUAAUGCAUGGGAGCUGCCCAGUCGAGGGGGAUAACAACUGGAAACGGUUGCUAAUACCACAUACGCCCUAAGGGGGAAAGGUGGGGAACUUCGGUCCUACCGCGAUUGGAUGCGCCCGUGUGGGAUUAGCUAGUUGGUGAGGUAACGGCUCAUCAAGGCGACGAUCGCUAGCUGGUCUGAGAGGAUGACCAGCCACACUGGAACUGAGACACGUUCCAGGCUCCUACGGGAGGCAGCAGUGGGGAAUAUUGCACAAUGGGGGAAACCCUGAUGCAGCCAUGCCGCGUGUGUGAAGAAGGCCUUCGGGUUGUAAAGCACUUUCAGUCAGGAGGAAGGGGUGAUGGCUAAUAUCCAUCAUCAUUGACGUUACUGACAGAAGAAGCACCGGCUAACUCCGUGCCAGCCGCCGCCGUAA
RNAcentral lists this ribosomal RNA (505 nucleotides) under uncultured bacterium. Its description in RNAcentral is "partial 16S ribosomal RNA". It matches the Rfam family "Bacterial small subunit ribosomal RNA", at positions 30 to 523 of the family's 1533-position model. The record is from RNAcentral.